CAAACGGCCCUCUUUAGGGCCACAAAUUCACGAGUCAUGCUUCUCU
Gongylonema pulchrum is the source of this 46-nucleotide non-coding RNA. The record is from Rfam. Lineage: Eukaryota; Metazoa; Nematoda; Chromadorea; Rhabditida; Gongylonematidae.